GACGUAGGGCGCAAGCGUUGUCCGGAUUUAUUGGGCGUAAAGAGCUCGUAGGCGGCUCGUUGCGUCGGCUGUGAAAACUCGAGGCUUAACCUCGAGCUGUCGGCGGAAACCAUCUGGCUAGAGUCCGGAAGAGGAGAAUGGAAUUCCCGGUGUAGCGGUGAAAUGCGCAGAUAUCGGGAAGAACACCCGUGGCGAAGGCGGUUCUCUGGGACGGUACUGACGCUGAGACGCGAAAGCGUGGGGAGCGAACAGG
RNAcentral lists this ribosomal RNA (253 nucleotides) under uncultured bacterium. RNAcentral's name for it is "partial 16S ribosomal RNA". It matches the Rfam family "Bacterial small subunit ribosomal RNA", at positions 524 to 776 of the family's 1533-position model. The record is from RNAcentral.